Molecule: long non-coding RNA, 1228 nt
Organism: Gallus gallus (chicken)
Lineage: Eukaryota; Metazoa; Chordata; Aves; Galliformes; Phasianidae
Exons: 3
Source: RefSeq, a predicted model, not a curated record
GUUUGCAUAGGGUUGUGUUUCAUGGGAGGGUCGAGGUGGAGUUCCAUAGCCUUCUAGUAAAAUGUGGUAAUUUUCUCAGGGCUGACAAAAAACAAAACAACAACAACAACAACAACAAAACUCUUUCUGUGAAAGUGACAGUUUUUUCCUCAUAUGCUCAAAGGAAUCAACCUUGUAUUCCACAGGCAAAAUCCCCUCAUUACUGCUGGACAAACACUCAAGAAAAGUGGUUGGGAAGUAAGUCCAUAGCUCCGCCUUCCAAGGAAACAAACAAACAAGAAGUCAUUGACAAUAAGGCUGUGGUAUAAACUGAUGAAGAGUAGGAGAUUCAGGGAGCUGAGCAAUCCUGAGAGCACAUGUGAACAAUUAAUCUUGUUGUUUGCUGCAAACAAGCUGAACCCCUCCAGCUGCAUGGGUGAGUACGUGGUGCACCGAAGAUCACUCACACACUGAGGGGUGAGCUGUUGUGUGAAUGCAGCCCCCUCCCCAAGGACCAGAUAGCACUGCCACUUACACAGCAUUGUGCCAUCAGUGACAAAUCUUCAGGACUUGCCCUUCCUUUCAGAUGGGAAGCUCAGAUCUGCACCCCGCGCCCUGCUGUGCCAGCACCUGACCAGGACGAGAACGCAGUGUAUCCACUGAGCGUGAGCUCUGCUCUUUUAGAAGAUGGGCCUGGUGCUAGACUUCCCAAGUCACCUCCAGGGCUGUAAUUGGAGGUAAACAAAAUUGUAAGUGACCAGAUAAGCCAACCUGCCAUGUUCCUUGCUGUGGUAGUCUCUAAAUGCAGAAACAAAGCAGGAGCUCCUUCUCACAGCCCUUUGACUAGGAGGUAGAAGAUUAUUUCCAGAUGUUUCCUCAGACUUUCCUGGUUCUUGGAUACCUUCUUCCUAAUGCUAUGGCUGUCCUGGUGUGGUUGCAUUAGAAGCAUUCAUAGGCAUGGGCUUUUGAAUGAAAAACAAGGGACAAAAGUGGAAGUAGCUGCUGACUCUGCUUUGUGACACAUUUGUGAUAUUCCCCUAAAGGAAAAUAGAAUCUGAGCUCUAAAAGUAGAGCCAGCUUGAGUUCUCACAGCAGGGAAGUCCAAGCAGUGUGGUUUCUACUUUUAACUCUUUGUUUGUAGUGAGACCCAAAUAAGUUGGGUCUAACUAUAUUUUACAGAACGUGUAUCUUUAUGUGUGAACUGUACAAAACAUACACUGAAAACUCCCAAAUUUAAGAACAUAUAUAA